This 249-nucleotide ribosomal RNA is filed under the name uncultured bacterium. RNAcentral describes it as "partial 16S ribosomal RNA". It matches the Rfam family "Bacterial small subunit ribosomal RNA", at positions 84 to 334 of the family's 1533-position model. The record is from RNAcentral.
AAAGAUGGCGACCGGCGCACGGGUGAGUAACACGUAUCCAACCUGCCGAUAACUCGGGGAUAGCCUUUCGAAAGAAAGAUUAAUAUCCGAUGGUAUAUUUUCUCCGCAUGGUGAGAAUAUUAAAGAAUUUCGGUUAUCGAUGGGGAUGCGUUCCAUUAGUUUGUUGGCGGGGUAACGGCCCACCAAGACCACGAUGGAUAGGGGUUCUGAGAGGAAGGUCCCCCACAUUGAAACUGAGACACGGUCCAA